GCCCGGGUGGCGAAAUUGGUAGACGCAAGGGACUUAAAAUCCCUCGUUCGAAAGAACGUGCCGGUUCGAGUCCGGCCCCGGGCACCA
This 87-nucleotide transfer RNA is filed under the name Gammaproteobacteria bacterium. RNAcentral's name for it is "tRNA-Leu". It matches the Rfam family "tRNA". From Rfam's summary of the family: Transfer RNA (tRNA) molecules are approximately 80 nucleotides in length. Their secondary structure includes four short double-helical elements and three loops (D, anti-codon, and T loops). Lineage: Bacteria; Pseudomonadati; Pseudomonadota; Gammaproteobacteria. RNAcentral also lists the same sequence under 1 other name. The record is from RNAcentral.